UAACUACAAAAGCUGAUGUCUA
This 22-nucleotide non-coding RNA is filed under the name Arabidopsis thaliana (thale cress). The record is from RNAcentral. Lineage: Eukaryota; Viridiplantae; Streptophyta; Magnoliopsida; Brassicales; Brassicaceae.